CCUACGCGUGGCAGCAGUGGGGGAUAUUGCACAAUGGGGGGAACCCUGAUGCAGCGACGCCGCGUGGGUGAAGGAGUGCUUCGGCAUGUAAAGCCCUAUCGGCAGGUAAGAAGCAAGACGGUACCUGACUAAGAAGCACCGGCUAAACACGUGCCAGCAGCCGCGGUAAUACGUAGGGGGCGAGCGUUAUCCGGAUUCACUGGGUGGAAAGGGAGCGUAGACGGCCAUGCAAGCAAGGGGUGAAAGCCCGGGGCACAACCCCGGGACUGCCCUUGGGACUGUGCGGGUAGAGGGAGGGAGGGGCAGGUGGAAUUCCUGGUGUAGCGGUGAAAUGCGUAGAUAUCAGGAGGAACACCGGCGGCGAAGGCGGCCUGCUGGACCGCGACUGACGUUGAGGCUCGAAAGCGUGGGGAGCGAACAGGAUUAGAUACCCGUGUAGUC
RNAcentral lists this ribosomal RNA (441 nucleotides) under uncultured bacterium. RNAcentral describes it as "partial 16S ribosomal RNA". It matches the Rfam family "Bacterial small subunit ribosomal RNA", at positions 338 to 795 of the family's 1533-position model. The record is from RNAcentral.